Molecule: long non-coding RNA, 1209 nt
Filed under: Mytilus galloprovincialis (Mediterranean mussel)
Lineage: Eukaryota; Metazoa; Mollusca; Bivalvia; Mytilida; Mytilidae
Source: RNAcentral
GUCAUUUUUUUCUCUGUUAAUGAUGUCUAUAAACUAAAUCCAUUGGAAGUUAGAUGUGUAAUGAUUGAUAUUUAUAGUCUUCUAAAGAUACUUUGUGUCUUUUAUGUUUUGGAUAGUGUUGUUUUUUUCUUUGUGCUUCGUACCGAUCUGAUGAGUUAAAGCCCUUUUCAACUGUUUUAAUUUUAUAAUUUUCUUAGGUUGUACUGAUAAACCCAUGUUCAUGAUAAGGGAGAGAGGAUGGAGCUAGCAAACAUGCGCAUGGCUACACAUUAUGUAUGUGCAUGUCUGAAGUCAGGAGCAUGUUAUUAUUUUGCAAUAUAUCUUUUUUGUUUUUUUUGGUUUUUUUAUUUUGUACUUUAUUCAACCUUUUUUUUCUUGUUUGAAUUCGUUUUAGAACUUUUUGGGUCAUUUUAUAGCUCACUAUGCAGUAUGGUACCGGUGUUGCUCAUUGUUGAAGGCCAUACGUUGACCUAUAGUUGUUAACUUAUACGUCGUAUGGUCUCCGGUGGAUAGUGAAUUGUAUCAUUGGCAAUCAUGACAAAUCUUCUUAUUUUCAUAUUCAUGUUUCCUUAUAUAUGGUAUUGCUACGUUGUUUAAGCCUUACAUUAUGCUGAUUUAAUGGCAUCGUUGGGCUAAAAUUUAAUUACAGUCAACCUUGUACUUAUUUCUACCAGAGAAAAGUUCUUCCUUAUUGAUUGGUUAGCAUUUUCAAUGACAUCAAACACACUCCUUUCUUUCCGAACGGUUAGCUUCCUUAUUAUAACCGACAGCUUUAGUAUCCAAAUGAGACCUAGUUUUUGUCAGUUGUUUGCUUUCUUCAAUAAGAUCAUCUCGUACAUUUCAUUUAAAUAAGACUUGUUAACCUUUUACAGAAUUGCCAAGCCUUUCCAAUCAAUAUUUAACCAUCUUUGUAGUUAAAUUGUGUUUCUAUGGUAACCGAUUUUACAAAAUGUAAUUUGAUGUCUCUAAAACAUUUGCGUUGCGUCACUUUUUAUCUAUUAGGCAUAUUUAUCAAAUAUAAAUGUAUAUUGUAUAUUGUAUGAUAUAAAAAGAAGAAAUGGUAUGAUUGCCAAUGAACAACUCUUCACAAGAGACCAGAUGACACAGACAUGAACAACUAUUAUAGGUCACAGUAUGGCCUACAACAAUAAGCAAACAUUUACCGCAUAGUCAGCUAUAAAAGGCCACUAAAUGACAAAGUAAAACAAU